AGAGUUUGAUCCUGGCUCAGAUUGAACGCUGGCGGAAUGCUUUACACAUGCAAGUCGAACGGCAGCACGGACUUCGGUCUGGUGGCGAGUGGCGAACGGGUGAGUAAUAUAUCGGAACGUAUCCAAUAAUGGGGGAUAACUAAUCGAAAGGUUGGCUAAUACCGCAUACGCCCUACGGGGGAAAGCUAGGGACCUUCGGGCCUGGCGUUAAUGGAGCGGCCGAUAUCUGAUUAGCUAGUUGGUGAGGUAAGGCUCACCAAGGCGACGAUCAGUAGCUGGUCUGAGAGGACGACCAGCCACACUGGAACUGAGACACGGUCCAGACUCCUACGGGAGGCAGCAGUGGGGAAUUUUGGACAAUGGGCGCAAGCCUGAUCCAGCCAUUCCGCGUGAGUGAAGAAGGCCUUCGGGUUGUAAAGCUCUUUCGCAAGGGAAGAAAACUUAGAUACUAAUAUUAUCUGAGGUUGACGGUACCUUGAUAAGAAGCACCGGCUAACUACGUGCCAGCAGCCGCGGUAAUACGUAGGGUGCGAGCGUUAAUCGGAAUUACUGGGCGUAAAGCGUGCGCAGGGCUGUUUUGUAAGUCAGAUGUGAAAUCCCCGAGCUCAACUUGGGAACUGCGUUUGAAACUACAAGACUAGAAUAUGUCAGAGGGGGGUAGAAUUCCACGUGUAGCAGUGAAAUGCGUAGAGAUGUGGAGGAAUACCAAUGGCGAAGGCAGCCCCCUGGGAUAAUAUUGACGCUCAUGCACGAAAGCGUGGGGGAGCAAACAGGAUUAGAUACCCUGGUAGUCCACGCCC
This 800-nucleotide ribosomal RNA is filed under the name uncultured bacterium. Its description in RNAcentral is "bacterial SSU rRNA". It matches the Rfam family "Bacterial small subunit ribosomal RNA", at positions 8 to 802 of the family's 1533-position model. The record is from RNAcentral.